This is a long non-coding RNA of Rhincodon typus (whale shark), 598 nucleotides long. RefSeq lists it as uncharacterized. The record is from RefSeq and is a predicted model, not a curated record. The transcript has 3 exons. NCBI's taxonomy places the organism in Eukaryota, Metazoa, Chordata, Chondrichthyes, Orectolobiformes, Rhincodontidae.
AGACAAAAUUCAAGAAGCACAAAAAGAACUACAGGUUCCUGAAGAUGCUCGGAAAAAUUUGAAAAUUCUGGAAGGCACAAAAAAAGAUUAUGUUCAAACAAGGCUGUCCAAAAUUGGAGAACCUCCUCGUGGGUCUGCUCCUGGGCCUGGCCAAGUUGGUUAUUAACAGGUCCAGGCAACGGUCUGUGCAGGGUGUCAUAUCUGCAGAUUGUCUGCCCUUCGUCCAUGGCUAUGUUCGUGCCUGGGUGCUCUUGGAGACGGACCAUGCAUUGUCCACCAAUGUUUUUGAUGCCUUUAGAAACAGAGAAGGAAACUGCCAUCCUUACCUGGUCUGGAUUACCAUGUGACUUCAUACCUACAACAACGUGGUUAACUCGUAACUGCCUUCUGGGAUGGGCAAUAAAUGCCGGCCAAGCCAGCGCCAUCCUCAUCCCAUGAAUGAAUAAAAAGUAUAAUUUGCCCUGUUAUAGGGUCAUGAAGGUUUACUGUAUGGAAUCAGGUCCUUUGGCCCAACUUGUCCAUGCUGUCUAUUUUUCACAAUUAAACUAGUCUCAUUUGCCCGCAUUUGGUCCAUAUCCCCCCAUAUCUAUCCCAUCCA